Molecule: long non-coding RNA, 458 nt
Filed under: Daucus carota (carrot)
Lineage: Eukaryota; Viridiplantae; Streptophyta; Magnoliopsida; Apiales; Apiaceae
Description: long non-coding RNA (DCAR_LNC000913)
Source: RNAcentral
AAUCCUCUUGACAUCUGAAACCCUAAUUGGAGUCGCCGCCCCCAAUUUUCCCGAUCCAAUCGACUACGGUUCACUGAGUAUGAGCUUGAGACACUAUAUUAUGACUGUAAACAAAAAGAGACAGAGAAAUAAGAGAAAUAUAUAGAGGAGACAGAGAGAUAGAAAGAAACAAAAGGAGAUUGAUACAAAAUAGAUAGAGAGGAUAAUACAUCAGCCUUCAAUCUAAGCCCUAUUCUUGGAUCCUUAGAUUAAUUGAACAAGUCAGCCCCUUUUUGUCAAACCCUAAUGGAAGCCCUUUCUCUCUGAUUGCAUUAAAGUCCGAUUGAGAGUUUCGAAUUGAAGUCCGACUGCGAGUUCCGAUUGAGAGUGACCAGUGAAUGAGAAGCGAGAUUAGCGACAAAGACAAAAGAGAGAGAGUUUUCUUUGUUAGAGAUGAAGUUGUAGGAUAGAUGAUUUUG